GAUGAAGAACGCAGCGAAAUGCGAUAAGUAAUGUGAAUUGCAGAAUUCAGUGAAUCAUCGAAUCUUUGAACGCACCUUGCGCCCUUUGGCCAUUCCGAAGGGCAUGCCUGUUUGAGUAUCAUGAACACCUCAACUCUUCAUGGUUUUCCGUGAUGAGCUUGGACUUUGGGGGUCUUGCUGGCCUAUGGUCAGCUCCUCUAAAAUAAAUCAGCUUGCCAGUGUUUGGUGGGUAUCACAGGUGUGAUAACUAUCUACGCUUGUGGUUUUCCACCAGGUAACCUUCAGCAGUGGAGGUUCGCUGGAGCUCACAGAUGUGUCUCUCCUCAGUGAGGACAGCUCUUUGAAUGUUUGAUCUCAAAGCAGGUAGGACUACCCGCUGAACUUAAGCAUAUCAAUAAGCGGAGGA
RNAcentral lists this unclassified non-coding RNA (406 nucleotides) under soil metagenome. Its description in RNAcentral is "partial contains 5.8S ribosomal RNA, internal transcribed spacer 2, and large subunit ribosomal RNA". The stretch from base 1 to 121 matches the Rfam family "5.8S ribosomal RNA", at positions 35 to 154 of the family's 154-position model. The record is from RNAcentral.